Molecule: ribosomal RNA, 497 nt
Filed under: uncultured bacterium
Lineage: Bacteria
Description: partial 16S ribosomal RNA
Rfam family: Bacterial small subunit ribosomal RNA
Source: RNAcentral
GAUGAACGCUGGCGGCGUGCCUAAUACAUGCAAGUCGAGCGAACGGACGAGAAGAUUGUUUCUUUGCUGUUAGCGGCGGACGGGCGAGUAACAAGUGGAUAACCUACCUAUUAGACUGGGAUAACUUCGGGAAACCGUUGCUAAUACCGGAUCAUAUUUUGUACCGCAUGGUUCAAAAGUGCAAGACGGCUUUGCCGUUACUUAUAGCUGGUUUCGCGCUGCAUUAGCUAGUUGGUAAGGUAACGGCUUACCAAGGCAACGAUGCAUAGCUGACCUGAGAGGGUGAUCAGCCACACUGGAACUGAGACACGGUCCAGACUCCUACGGGAGGCAGCAGUGGGGAAUCUUCCACAAUGGGCGAAAGCCUGACGGAGCAACACCGCGUGAGUGAUGAAGGUCUUCGGAUCGUAAAACUCUGUUAUUAGGGAAGAACAGAUGUGUAAGUAACUGUGCACAUCUUGACGGUACCUAAACAGAAAGCCACGGCUAACUACGUG